UGGCUCAGUCAGUAGAGCGUCCGCCUCACAACCGGGAGGUCAUGGGUUCGAAUCCCGG
Non-coding RNA from Strongylocentrotus purpuratus (purple sea urchin), 58 nucleotides. Lineage: Eukaryota; Metazoa; Echinodermata; Echinoidea; Camarodonta; Strongylocentrotidae. The record is from Rfam.